This 460-nucleotide ribosomal RNA is filed under the name uncultured bacterium. RNAcentral's name for it is "partial 16S ribosomal RNA". It matches the Rfam family "Bacterial small subunit ribosomal RNA", at positions 338 to 795 of the family's 1533-position model. The record is from RNAcentral.
CCUACGGGAGGCAGCAGUGAGGAAUCUUCGUCAAUGGGCGCGAGCCUGAACCAGCCAAGUAGCGUGAAGGAUGACUGCCCUCCGGGUUGUAAGCUUCUUUUAUGGAGGAAUACAGUGAGGCACGUGUGUCUUUUUGUAUGUACUUUAUGCAUCAGGAUCGGCUAACUCCGUGCCAGCCGCCGCGGUAAUACGGUGGGUACGAGCGUUAUCCGGAUUGAUUGGGUUUAAAGGGAGCGUAGACGGGUUGUUAAGUUAGUUGUGAAAGUUUGCGGCUCAACCGUAGAAUUGCAGUGGAUACUGGCAGACUUGAGUGCAGUAGAGGUAGGCGGAAUUCGAGGUGUAGCGGUGAAAUGCUUAGAUAUAACGAAGAACGCCGAUGGCGAAGGCAGCCUACUGAACUGCCACUGACGCUGAGGCUCGAAAGUGUGGGUAGCGAACAGGAUUAGAUACCCGAGUAGUC